RNAcentral lists this ribosomal RNA (393 nucleotides) under Nasutitermes ephratae. Its description in RNAcentral is "partial 16S ribosomal RNA". The record is from RNAcentral. Lineage: Eukaryota; Metazoa; Arthropoda; Insecta; Blattodea; Termitidae.
CAUCUUUUCUUGUUAGUUUUUGAAGUAUGGCCUGCCCACUGACUUAGAGUUGAAGGGCCGCGGUAUUUUGACCGUGCAAAGGUAGCAUAAUCAUUAGUUCUUUAAUUGUGAUCUGGUAUGAAUGGCUUGACGAGACAUAAGCUGUCUUAGGGGUAUUGGUUUAUUGAAUUUGGUUUUUGAGUUAAAAUUCUUAAAUGUUUUUAUGGGACGAGAAGACCCUAUAGAGUUUGACAAUUUUCCUAUUUGUUCGUUGUUUGUUUUAUUUACAUUGAGUGGGAGUUAGUUGUUUUGUUGGGGUGAUGGGAGGAAUAUUGUUUAACUCCUCUUUAUUUUUAUAUAUUUAUGUAUAUAUUUUUGAUCCAUUUAUUUUGAUUAUAAGAUUAAAUUACCUUA